GAUAUUAUGAUUUAAAUUGCAACUUACAAGAAUAUUUCAUGGUCUUUCAGGUACUUAAAGGCAUGUGCGAUAUGAACUCCCAAAUAUUCCGAAAUCACGUCAGAGAUUUCUAUCCAUUUAUUACAAAACUUGUCUGCUGUGACCAGAUGGAUGUACGUGGAGCACUUGCAGAUCUUUUUAGUAGGCAGUUGAACUCAUUGAUGGUGGCGUAGGGAACUAUAAGAGGGAUUCCCUGAAAGGUUAUAUGAACAUCACUGGUGGACGAUGUGACGUGAAAUAUGAAAAUCACUGGUGGACAUGAAGAAUAUGAGACGGAAUAGAAUCAGCAGCUAUUGUGUGGUGGUUCCUGUUUUGGAUGUCUCCUAGCCAUGUGUAACAAACGAGUUUUAUUGGGUUUAAAUUUUAGUUAUUUAUUUGCCUGGGGAAGCCAAAACAAAAAUAGACAUUUGUCGUGUAUAGCUGUAUGGUGGAACAGUGCGUUUUUAGUUUCUU
Olea europaea var. sylvestris is the source of this 492-nucleotide long non-coding RNA. RefSeq lists it as uncharacterized. NCBI's taxonomy places the organism in Eukaryota, Viridiplantae, Streptophyta, Magnoliopsida, Lamiales, Oleaceae. The transcript has 3 exons. The record is from RefSeq and is a predicted model, not a curated record.